Molecule: ribosomal RNA, 253 nt
Filed under: uncultured bacterium
Lineage: Bacteria
Description: partial 16S ribosomal RNA
Rfam family: Bacterial small subunit ribosomal RNA
Source: RNAcentral
GACAGAGGAUGCAAGCGUUAUCCGGAAUGAUUGGGCGUAAAGCGUCUGUAGGUGGCUUUUUAAGUCCGCCGUCAAAUCCCAGGGCUCAACCCUGGACAGGCGGUGGAAACUACCAAGCUGGAGUACGGUAGGGGCAGAGGGAAUUUCCGGUGUAGCGGUGAAAUGCGUAGAUAUCUGGAGGAAUACCGGUGGCGAAGGCGGCAUCCUGGACCGGCAUUGACGCUGAGGAGCGAAAGCUAGGGGAGCAAACGGG